CGAAUUCUGUCGGGGUGCUCUUGCUGCAAUGCAGAGCUGAGAUCGCAUAAGCGGAUCCCGUUGAACCUGAUCUGGUUAAAGCCAGCGUAGGAAACAGAAAAGCCGUUGUU
This 110-nucleotide non-coding RNA is filed under the name Thalassolituus sp. RNAcentral describes it as "TPP sequence". It matches the Rfam family "TPP riboswitch aptamer (THI element)". From Rfam's summary of the family: Vitamin B(1) in its active form thiamin pyrophosphate (TPP) is an essential coenzyme that is synthesised by coupling of pyrimidine and thiazole moieties in bacteria. The previously detected thiamin-regulatory element, thi box was extended, resulting in a new, highly conserved RNA secondary structure, the THI element, which is widely distributed in eubacteria and also occurs in some archaea. The record is from RNAcentral. Lineage: Bacteria; Pseudomonadati; Pseudomonadota; Gammaproteobacteria; Oceanospirillales; Oceanospirillaceae.